This 5112-nucleotide long non-coding RNA is filed under the name Sus scrofa (pig). RNAcentral's name for it is "lncRNA (ENSSSCG00000055076.1)". Lineage: Eukaryota; Metazoa; Chordata; Mammalia; Artiodactyla; Suidae. The record is from RNAcentral.
AAGCCACAUGGCAGAUGGAGAUGGAGGGUGUCUUUCCUAUCCUUUCUACCAAUUCACUGGUCCUAACUCAUCAAGAAACCAGUGAGCUUUCUUCCUAGAACUUACAGUUGACCGCACUAAGGCCGUAUCAUUUUCCUAUUUAGCAUGAUGUAUUAUAAGAUUCUCAGGGAAAAUAUUUGCCUUGCGUAAUGAUCACAGGCAGGAAAUGUUUUUCUUUAUAGAGGGCUAUUCGCUAGCAAACCAGCCAUGCCUAUCUGUUUCUGGCAAAAGAAUGAAAAAUACAUAAAUAAAAGGAAAGUGUAGUUUAAUAUUAUGCUUUGGAUUAAUUCUAAUUGAUCCUGGAGCAUUUAGAACCUAACUCUGGAAAGGUUAACAUAUGAAGUAAAGCUCCUGAAAAAUAAAUGACUCUUAUAUUGACGCUUUGAUGGCUAUGACAUCUCUGGGCUUAAUAGCCUUUUUAUCCAGAAAGGUCCCCAAAUUGAAUGUGAAGAUGGAGCAGAGAUUUAGCUCAUUAUCAUUUGUCGCAUCUCAGAUCUUGUGGGUGAUAGUCUUGUUUACUGGCAUACCAGAGCAGCUCCAAGCACUUAAUAGAAUAUAGAUGUCAUUUGGACCUAGGAAAGCUUACUUUAUAACCACCUACUGGUAAGUGUUUUUUGGCUGAAGACCAACAUCGUCUAAUAUAAACUUGGUAAAUUAAUGAACCAUUUGCUCUUCUUUUAUGACUAUUUGUAUACCCAAGUAAAUCUUGUUAUCUAGAAGGCUAUAGCUUUCACGGAGAGAGGCAUCCACAAUUUGACUGCAAAGUGUCGGUGUAUCACUUUGGCUAAAUUAAAUCAUUUUUUUCACGUAUUUUUUCUUCACAUGCUUGAUAAUUUUGAUUAAACAUAUUUCUGUGGAUAAUGCUUUGAGAGACAGAAGUUUCAAUGAGAUAAUUCAUUAUGCAGGAAAGUUUAAGGUCAUUAUUCAAUGAACAAUGAUGAUUUAUUUAACUUUGGGUGUGGGAGAGGAAUCAAACAUGUAAGCUCCAUCAAAAUAAGCAUGAUGUCAUCUCUCACUCAUCUCCUCUGCUAACAUAGGGCCAGGCAUAUGCUUGUCAGAUGCUUGUCCAAAAGUUCAAGGCUAAUGGUGAUGCCAAAUUAUGGGUCAGGGCUUUACUGUUCAGUGAUCCUAUACUUCUUAUAGUGGUGUAAGCAGACUAUGGAUUGCUUGGGGAGAAUAAUACCCUUGCUUUAGUUUAUAAAUGCUGUUGAUUGAGGUAAAUGCCCAAUAGUUAAUUUGAAGUAAAAUUCUUCAGAGCAAGCCAGAAGAAUGGUGUCACUCUGUACGUGGCUGAUUUCUAAGUCUUAUUUUGUUGCUCUAGAAGGACAUUUUGAAACAGACACCAUGCAGAAUCCUCUGAUUAAAUUAUUUUAAAGGCAAAUCUUUUUUUUUUUUUAAAAACACCCAUCUAAUUAAUAUUCUGUUUUUAACUUACAUAAUCCAUAUUCAAUUGCUUAAUGAGCUUUUGAUCUUCAGAAUGUUCCUUGUAUGUACUUGAAGGUGAAUUGAAAACAAAAGUAAUAGAAAACUAUAGUGAAUAUCCAUACUAUAUAAAGGUCAUUCAAUAAAUAAUCAAUACUUUAUAUAGAUACAUACACAUAGAUACAGUGGAUAUAUAUUUAUGUAUGUUAAUUAUUAGAGGAUAUCUAUAUUGAAAUUGGAUUCAAGGAAAAGUACAUAAUAUGAGCUUUAACAGCUGAUAUAACUCCCAGAACCAGACUGAGAAGAAGCAGUGCAUUGAUUAUAUGUAUACAGUUAUAAAGUAACAUAGUAGAGAUUUUCCUUCUAAUAACAUUAACAUGUUCUCAAAUGAUGUAACUCAGUUUUUACAUGAAAUACAAGCACAGUCAUCUGUCAUGACAAUGAAAAUCAAGAAUUCUCCAAUGGACUAUUCAUAUCGAAAUCCUUACAUAGGUGCUAUAAAUAGCAACAAAUAUUUAUUUGAUAGAUUAAUUUAUUGGUAAUAAUAGCAUACUUUCAAAAAAAUGAAAGAGGAGUUCCCAUUGUGGCUGAGCAGGUUAAGAACCUGACAUAGUGUUCAUGAGAAUGCAGGUUUGAUCCAUAUGUCAGAUUCUUAAUCUGCUCAGCCUCAACAGGAACUCCUCCUUCAUUUUUUUUUUUAAUAGUGGCUCAGCCAAAUGACAACAUUUAUUUUGCCUACCAUUCCCCAGCAUCAAAAUGAGUAAACUGUGAAUUCCACCAAAUACCUAACUAGGAAUUUAUUUUAUAGUGUCUGACUCUGGAAAAAAAAAGAUGCAGUAAAUUCAUAUGUUCUACAAAAGCCACUCUGAGAUAACAGACAGUAAAUUUGCUUUUAAAAAAUAUGUCCAGACUUUGUUGUUCAUCUUUACCCUAUGAUGAAGAACUGAGAAGCACAUGCUUGGAUAUGAACAACUUCAAGGGAAAAAAAAUGUCUCUCUAUGAGUACAAUAUGGUGAUAGGGUGCUUCCAUAUCUAGUCAGGAAAAGAAGUCUGCUUUUGUAUUUGCAUAAAUGGUUGUUAGCUUUGCAUCCAGUCGUCUUACUAGUCAAAGGCAUAGAGAUAUCUAUAGUUCAGCAUAGGAUUAUUUUUUUCCCUUCCUGCCACGCCCUCGCCAUAUCGAAGUUCCAAGGCCAGGGACUGAAUCCAAGCUCCAACUGCAACCUGUGUCACAGCUGCAGCAAUGCUGGAUCCUUAGCCCACUAUGGUGGGCCAGGGAUCAGACCCAUGUAGCCACAAAGACAUUGCUGGAGCCUUAAUCUGCUGUGCCACAGUGGGAACUCCCAAGCAUAGGAUUUUGAAUUAAUCUUGAUUUGAUGGUUAUUGAGUUUCCAAACAUUUUGUAGAAUACUUUUAGCUAUUCUAUUUUAAAUGGGGUUUUUAUUAUAAAUUACUUCAAAUCAUCUUGAAAAUGUCCAUCAUGUAUAUUAUGUAUAUACCAUGUUCAUACCUGUUUAUGUGACAAGAUGUAUACAUUUAUUAUGAUGUCUAGUCAUGCAGUUUUUUUCCUUUUUUUGCAUUAAUGUCUAUUCAUAGAAUUUUGAGACUUUGGGAAAGUUCCUUAUAAGAGAAAAGAUAGACAGUGGAUCUUGAAACAUGAAUAGGACUUAGGUACAUACAUAUUUACUCAGCAUGUUGGAUGCAAUUCACUGGAUCCUGUCUUAUUCAUGGCGGAAUAGAAUGGUCUGGAUUUCCUCAGUGAAGAUGUAAUUGAAAAAGUGGAAAUAUAAUAGAGAACAUUCAAACACUCACAGACUGGAAUAAAUAACCUGGAAAGCUGGCUGUUCUAUGACAUAUUUUUUGAGAUCUUUCGCAGCCUGUAGUAAUUAAUAUAGAUGCUUAAGAUAUGGUCAAAAAGGGAAUUAAUCAUUACAAGUAAAGUAAGUAAAAUUUAGAAUUUUAUUCCUUUUUUAGUUAUUUAUUUUCUAUUUCAUAUCUAAAACUUUGUCAUAUUAAUAAAGGCCAUUUUUGAUCUUGAUCCACAUAUUUCUAAUUAAUUCAUUUAAGAUUAUUUAUUAAAGAUAGUGCUUAUAAAUAUGGCAUACACUUCAUUUAUCCCAAUCCUUGCUUAAGUCAUCUUACUAACUUAGUAGUCUUUAUUGAAACAGAAUUGCUUCUCAAUGAUUGCCUUGUCUUAAUUAUAGACUGACUUGCAUUUUUUGGAAUAUAUAAACUUGGGGUUAGAGAGGAAGCUCGUUGCAAAUGAUCUUUAGGGGCAGAUGCUGAAGAAUUCUUUGGACCUCAGGAAGGUAUGGACAUUAAAAAAGUAUAUCUCUUUGUUUUCCUAUUGUAAAAAUCAGAUCUUGUCAAUGCAGUAUGUCUGGGUGUUAGGAAGUCACAUUUAUUCCUUGAUUCACAUAGCAACAUGUGGAAAGACUUCACAAGACUGACACUCCUGGAUUUUCUCUAUAUCCCCUGUCCCUUCAAGAGGAGGGGUGUUCUAUCUGACUAUUGAAUUUAGGAGGAUGAAUUUACCAUGCUUUGUUCAGCGCAUCCCUUUCUCUUCCUUUGGAUCUUGCAAAAGAUGACAUAUUAUAAUCUUCUUUUGUCACCCUAGUAAUGGACUCUUUGGCAAUAAUAAGUACUGAAUUCUGAGGACAUAACUUGGCUUUGGAUAAAUUCUUUAGAGUUAGGAGUGGCCUGAAAUUCUUUGGAUUGUUUAAUGUGAGAGGCAUAUAGGGGACUUGGUGUUUUUAAUAAUCCUUUCAGUGAAAUUCAUCCCAGGCUUGAGUUGAAUGCUGACACAAUGCAGGUGGAGAAUACAACAGGAAAUGAUUUUUUUCCCUUAGGUAGAUGAAGGCCUUAGAAUCAAUUAAUAUGUUGUUCUGGCUCAUUUCAAAGCAGUCUGGGGAAAAAUCUAAACUCACUAGUUAUACCAAGAAAUACAAAAUAGGACAAUUGGUUUUGUGGAAGCAUCCUCAGGAGGAUGGAAAUAGAGGAAAAUUCUACCCUUGCUUGGCCAUGGAUGAUGUUUAAGAUGACGAGGUUAAGCGAAUACAAAGUUGGACAAUAUUAAGAGAAACAGUUAUUGUACACGCUUUGUAUUUUCCUUUUAUUUAAGCCUAAAUUCCUUGCCUUACGGGAGGCCUAAAUUAUCUGAUUGAUGACUUUGAAAGAAAUAGCUAAGCAUGCUGUACUGAUGCUUUGCACUUUGUCUCUACUCUUUCAGAUUGGUCUACUUUUAGAGAGAUUAAAAUUGGACUUGUAAUCCAUGUGGGGAUAUGCUUUUCCUUAUACUGGAGGUUAGACUGCCCAGUUUUGCCAUUAAAGAAUGAGUAUAUCUGUUUAAUGUAAGGACAUUGAGUAUUAAUAUGCACUUUGAUUGGCAAAUCUAAUGUUAUAUUGUACAAACACUUUUUUUUUUUUUACUGUAAAUUCAGCCAAUGUCUUCAUCUCCAUUUUUCUGUCUUGUAUGUACCACAAGUAGUUCAAAUCUCAGGGAGCAAAGAAAGAGGCAGUACUUAUAAGCCCCUUAAAGCCCUAGCCAUAGGUUAUGAGAGAAGAAAAAUAAAAUUAGACAGGUAGCCAUCAAUUUUAAUCCACACUAUAAUGCCUCUCUCAAGGAUGAAUAUAAGUAAAUUAGGGGUGCCUACU